This 464-nucleotide ribosomal RNA is filed under the name uncultured bacterium. Its description in RNAcentral is "partial 16S ribosomal RNA". It matches the Rfam family "Bacterial small subunit ribosomal RNA", at positions 339 to 795 of the family's 1533-position model. The record is from RNAcentral.
CUACGGGUUGCUCCAGUGGGGAAUAUUGCACAAUGGGCGCAAGCCUGAUGCAGCCAUGCCGCGUGUAUGAAGAAGGCCUUCGGGUUGUAAAGUACUUUCAGCGGGGAGGAAGGGAGUAAAGUUAAUACCUUUGCUCAUUGACGUUACCCGCAGAAGAAGCACCGGCUAACUCCGUGCCAGCAGCCGCGGUAAUACGGAGGGUGCAAGCGUUAAUCGGAAUUACUGGGCGUAAAGCGCACGCAGGCGGUUUGUUAAGUCAGAUGUGAAAUCCCCGGGCUCAACCUGGGAACUGCAUCUGAUUCUGGCAAGCCUGAGUCUCGUAGAGGGGGGUAGAAUUCCAGGUGUAGCGGUGAAAUGCGUAGAGAUCUGGAGGAAUACCGGUGGCGAAGGCGGCCCCCUGGACGAAGACUGACGCUCAGGUGCGAAAGCGUGGGGAGCAAACAGGAUUAGAUACCCGUGUAGUC